This is a long non-coding RNA of Ostrea edulis (European flat oyster), 3134 nucleotides long. RefSeq lists it as uncharacterized. NCBI's taxonomy places the organism in Eukaryota, Metazoa, Mollusca, Bivalvia, Ostreida, Ostreidae. The record is from RefSeq and is a predicted model, not a curated record. The transcript is spliced from 4 exons.
ACAGGUUGGUUUUUUUUACAAUAACUAUCGGAAAAGACUAACAAAAUUUAUGUUCCUAUCAUGCAUAAAUCUAAAUAAAUCAUUGAUUUUGCAAAAUCUGAUGACAUCAUAGGAGGGUGGAAUUACUUUAAGUUAUGUUUAGUGCUGUGUGUAUAUAAACAUGCACUCAUAUAAUUAUAUCUUCCCUCUUCCAGGAGGAGACAUAUUGUAUUUGUACUUUCUGUCCGUCCUUCCUUCUGUCACAAAAUCUUGUGAACGCUUCUCCACCUAUAUGGCUUAUCAGAUAGACUUGAAACUUUGUACAAUGCUUCAUUGUCAUUUGCAGAUGUGAAUAUUGUUGGGACGGGAGGAUCCAAUUGUUUUCCUAAGAGUUAUAGUGGAUCUAAGAGGGGUGGAAGAUGUAAAAUAGCUUAUGAACUCUUCUCCUCCCAUAUGGCUUAUUGGAUAGACUUGAAACUUUGUACAAUGCUUAAUUGUCAUUUGUAGAUGUGCAUAUUGUCGGAAUGGGAGGAUCCAAAGUUUUUCCUAAAAGAUAUAGUGGAUCUAAAAGGGGUGGAGGAUGUUAAAAUACCUUGUGAACACUUCUCCUAUAUGGCUUAUCUGAUAGACUUGAGAAUUUGUACAAUGCUUCAAUGCCAUUUGUAGAUGUGCAAGUUGUAGGGACAGGAGGAUCCAAUUGUUUUCCUAAGAGUUAUAGUGGAUCUAAGAGGGGUGGAAGAUGUAAAAUAGCUUAUGAACUCUUCUCCUCCCAUAUGGCUUAUUGGAUAGACUUGAAACUUUGUACAAUGCUUAAUUGUCAUUUGUAGAUGUGCAUAUUGUCGGAAUGGGAGGAUCCAAAGUUUUUCCUAAAAGAUAUAGUGGAUCUAAAAGGGGUGGAGGAUGUUAAAAUACCUUGUGAACACUUCUCCUAUAUGGCUUAUCUGAUAGACUUGAGAAUUUGUACAAUGCUUCAAUGCCAUUUGUAGAUGUGCAAGUUGUAGGGACAGGAGGAUCCAAUUGCUAUCCUUAAAGUUAAAGUGGAUCUGAGGGGUGUAGGGUAUAAAAUAGUUUGUGAACGUUUCUCCUCCUAUAUGGCUUAUCAGAGUUCAUGUCUAUCUUCCUGCCCAUGCUUUCUCCUCCAUACUAUUCAAUACAUUAAGGGGGAUGUUUCCUAUAUUUUACGAAUUAAUUGGUUGAUUGACAACAAACUUGGUACACUUGUACAGCAUAUAUAAGGAGUAGAUGACCCCUAUUGAUUCUUAGGUCACAUGGUCAGUCCACUCUUGACAUAGGAAGGAAUUGUCUGCUCAAUAUUUUGAAUUGGUGUAACUACUAUCAAUUAAAUGAGGCACGGGUAUAACCCUUUCAAUUUUGCAACUUGGGGUCAUAUGUGUUUUAGAAACAUCUCUUGUGUUGUAUUAUAUGAAUUACAGUUUUUAGUGUGCUCAGUUUAGAGAAUAGCAUAAAAGUAUUUGAUAAUUAAAUAUCUUGCAGAUUGGCAGUUUACUCCAUGCACCGACAGGAAUGAUAAACUGUGAUAUUCGUAAAUGGAACUGGGACACGUUCUAAAUAUACUCAGGGACAGAAUGAUGUGCAGCAAGGCUCGUCAUGGAUUUUACCAAAUACAGAACACUGCAAGGCUUGCAAAAUGAAGACCUCAGUAAAAAAAUUUCUAAAUUAUCCACUAAUGGCAGCUCACUACCUGCCCCUUGUGAUGUUAAAAGAGGCCGUUGUUCUCAUUUGUUCCAAAACAGGAAUGGCAUAUGAGGAGGCCAACAGAAGAUGCACCUCCACUGACCUCCACUGAGUGUGCACUCACAAAACGAAUAAAUUAUUAUUAUUUCUUUUGUUUGUAAUUGUAUAUUGUCAACAAGGUCAAAGGCACUUGAUCCGAUGCCAAACUUUUGCAUUUCUUUUGCUUUGUGGUAAAUUUUCUUCAGCAACAUUAACAUUGUUUAAAUUGUUUUCUUUGGAGAGUUUACAUGUACACAUGGAUCAUUUGUAUAUUAGAAUUAUAGCAUUGUUUAAUUCAACUCAUUCUUAUCAUAGAGAGGUUAUUAUAUACUGCAGGCAACGACUUGUAAAGGGUAUACUGUUUUAACUCACAUGCAAGGCAGUAUUAUGAAACUCUGUAGUUGAUAAGGACAUAUAUCACAUAUCGAUAUGCAUAUUUACAGGAAACUCUGAUGUAUUUUAAAUCUGAACGUUAAUUUAAAAGUGGGGAGAAAUAGCAUUGGAUGAAAAAAGACACAUAUGAAGAAAAUUAUUCCAUACGUAAAUACUUUUUAGCUCACCUGAGCUGAAAGCUCAAGUGAGCUUUUCUGAUCGCCUGUUGUUCAUUGUCUAUCCGUGAUUAAACAUUUUAUAUUUUCUCCAGAAGCACUGGGCCAAUAAUAACCAAACUUAGCCAAAAGUAUCCUUGGGUAAAGGGCUUUCGAGUUUGUUCAAAUGAAGGGCCAUGCCCUCUUCAAAGGGGAGAUGACCACAAAAAUAGGGUGGGUCAUUUAAUUUUUUUUAUCAAGAACCAUUGGGCCAGAAGAGCUGAAAUGUACAUGAAAGCUUCCUGACAUAGUACAGAUUCAAGUUUAUUGAAAUCAUGGCCUCCAGGGGUUGUAUGGGGCCACAAUAGAGAAUCAAAGUUUUACAUACAAUUAUUCAGGAAAACUCUUUCAAUAUGAGCCAAGGUGGCUCAGGUGAGCGAUGUGGCCCAUGGGCCUCUUGUUCAACAUAUAGAAUAAAUAGUUAUGUUGUAUUUCCCAUGGAACAUUGAAACGUUUAAUGCGUUUACCAAUUAAUCACUGAAAGAAAGAUAAAAUUGUUGUUUCAUAUGUUUUAUGAAAACUUAAAGAUGUUUCAUUUCUUUUCAUGAAAGACCCCUUAAUUACCCAGUAAUAUAUAAUCAAUUCUUAACAGAUUAUGUAAAUUUGAUUUAUAUUAAGGAUGUUUGAUCUGAUUACCCAUCAUUAUCAAUCUGUCUAAUAUGGCCAUCAUGUGUUACUAUUGCUACGCAAUCUUGGAGCAUGAGGUAGAAUGCGACCUAGCUCUUUCAUAAGUACAUCCAUCUGGAAAAUAUUUCAAUGUCAAAGGUUACAACAAUGUGAUAAUUUAAUCAUUGUAUGUCUAAGGUGUUGAUAAUAAAACUGUUAUCUGUUCAA